GUCCUACGGGGGGCAGCAGUGAGGAAUAUUGGUCAAUGGGCGGGAGCCUGAACCAGCCAAGUCGCGUGAAGGAAGAAGGUACUUAGUAUUGUAAACUUCUUUUGUCGGGGAACAAAGGCGGAGACGCGUCUCCGGAUGAGUGUACCCGAAGAAAAAGCAUCGGCUAACUCCGUGCCAGCAGCCGCGGUAAUACGGAGGAUGCGAGCGUUAUCCGGAUUUAUUGGGUUUAAAGGGUGCGCAGGCGGGAGAUCAAGUCAGCGGUAAAAAUGCGGAGCUCAACUCCGUCGAGCUGUUGAAACUGUCGU
Molecule: ribosomal RNA, 305 nt
Filed under: uncultured bacterium
Lineage: Bacteria
Description: bacterial SSU rRNA
Rfam family: Bacterial small subunit ribosomal RNA
Source: RNAcentral